This 389-nucleotide ribosomal RNA is filed under the name uncultured bacterium. RNAcentral's name for it is "bacterial SSU rRNA". It matches the Rfam family "Bacterial small subunit ribosomal RNA", at positions 29 to 410 of the family's 1533-position model. The record is from RNAcentral.
AACGAACGCUGGCGGCGCGCUUAACACAUGCAAGUCGAACGAGAAGGCGUAGCAAUACGCUUGUACAGUGGCGAACGGGUGAGUAAUACGUGGGCGACCUACCCUCGAGUGGGAAUAACCCGCCGAAAGGCGGGCUAAUGCCGCGUACGCUUCCAUCUUUAUGGAGGUGGAAGGAAAGCCGUGCCGUGGGCACGGCGCUCAAGGAUGGGCUCACGUCCUAUCAGCUUGNGGUAGGGUAACGGCCUACCAAGGCUCCGACGGGUAGCUGGUCUGAGAGGACGAUCAGCCACACUGGCACUGCGACACGGGCCAGACUCCUACGGGAGGCAGCAGUGAGGAAUAUUGCGCAAUGGGCGAAAGCCUGACGCAGCGACGCCGCGUGGGGGAGU